ACUGGUCUUCAGGCAAGGGUAUAUGAGUAGUUGUGCUCCCCUGCUAGAACUUCCAAACAAGCUAUCAAGGUCAAUUGUAGAAAACUAGGGUAGUAAAGCUUACGGACUACCUGAAGAACUGUGGACAGUGGUGUGAGCUGGGUAAUCCACUAGUUCAU
RNAcentral lists this small nuclear RNA (158 nucleotides) under Rattus norvegicus (Norway rat). Its description in RNAcentral is "7SK RNA". It matches the Rfam family "7SK RNA", at positions 172 to 331 of the family's 331-position model. From Rfam's summary of the family: 7SK was discovered as an abundant small nuclear RNA in the mid-70s but a possible function has only recently been suggested. Lineage: Eukaryota; Metazoa; Chordata; Mammalia; Rodentia; Muridae. The record is from Rfam by way of RNAcentral.